GAUGAACGCUGACAGAAUGCUUAACACAUGCCAGUCAACUUGAAUUUGGGUUUUUAACUUGGGUUUGGGUGGCGGACGGGUGAGUAACGCGUAAAGAACUUGCCUCACAGCUAGGGACAACAUUUGGAAACGAAUGCUAAUACCUAAUAUUAUGAUAAUAGGGCAUCCUAUAAUUAUGAAAGCUAUAAGCGCUGUGAGAGAGCUUUGCGUCCCAUUAGCUAGUUGGAGAGGUAACGGCUCGCCAAGGCGAUGAUGGGUAGCCGGCCUGAGAGGGUGAUCGGCCACAAGGGGACUGAGACACGGCCCUUACUCCUACGGGAGGCAGCAGUGGGGAAUAUUGGACAAUGGACCAAGAGUCUGAUCCAGCAAUUCUGUGUGCACGAUGAAGUUUUUCGGAAUGUAAAGUGCUUUCAGUUGGGAAGAAAGAAAUGACGGUACCAACAGAAGAAGUGACGGCUAAAUACGUG
RNAcentral lists this ribosomal RNA (467 nucleotides) under uncultured bacterium. Its description in RNAcentral is "partial 16S ribosomal RNA". It matches the Rfam family "Bacterial small subunit ribosomal RNA", at positions 28 to 507 of the family's 1533-position model. The record is from RNAcentral.